RNAcentral lists this ribosomal RNA (433 nucleotides) under uncultured bacterium. RNAcentral describes it as "partial 16S ribosomal RNA". It matches the Rfam family "Bacterial small subunit ribosomal RNA", at positions 29 to 507 of the family's 1533-position model. The record is from RNAcentral.
AGCGAACGCUGGCGGCAGGCUUAACACAUGCAAGUCGAGCGGGCACUUCGGUGUCAGCGGCAGACGGGUGAGUAACACGUGGGAACGUACCCUUUGGUUCGGAAUAACGCUGGGAAACUAGCGCUAAUACCGGAUACGCCCUUUUGGGGAAAGGCUUGCUGCCGAAGGAUCGGCCCGCGUCUGAUUAGCUAGUUGGUGGGGUAAUGGCCUACCAAGGCGACGAUCAGUAGCUGGUCUGAGAGGAUGAUCAGCCACACUGGGACUGAGACUCGGCCCAGACUCCUACGGGAGGCAGCAGUGGGGAAUAUUGGACAAUGGGCGCAAGCCUGAUCCAGCCAUGCCGCGUGAGUGAUGAAGGCCUUAGGGUUGUAAAGCUCUUUUGUCCGGGACGAUAAUGACGGUACCGGAAGAAUAAGCCCCGGCUAACUUCGUG